UAGAAUUCCAGGUGUAGCGGUGAAAUGCGUAGAGAUCUGGAGGAAUACCGGUGGCGAAGGCGGCCCCCUGGACGAAGACUGACGCUCAGGUGCGAAAGCGUGGGGAGCAAACAGGAUUAGAUACCCUGGUAGUCCACGCCGUAAACGAUGUCGACUUGGAGGUUGUGCCCUUGAGGCGUGGCUUCCGGAGCUAACGCGUUAAGUCGACCGCCUGGGGAGUACGGCCGCAAGGUUAAAACUCAAAUGAAUUGACGGGGGCCCGCACAAGCGGUGGAGCAUGUGGUUUAAUUCGAUGCAACGCGAAGAACCUUACCUGGUCUUGACAUCCACGGAAGUUUUCAGAGAUGAGAAUGUGCCUUCGGGAACCGUGAGACAGGUGCUGCAUGGCUGUCGUCAGCUCGUGUUGUGAAAUGUUGGGUUAAGUCCCGCAACGAGCGCAACC
RNAcentral lists this ribosomal RNA (442 nucleotides) under Escherichia coli. Its description in RNAcentral is "bacterial SSU rRNA". It matches the Rfam family "Bacterial small subunit ribosomal RNA", at positions 662 to 1103 of the family's 1533-position model. Lineage: Bacteria; Pseudomonadati; Pseudomonadota; Gammaproteobacteria; Enterobacterales; Enterobacteriaceae. The record is from RNAcentral.